CUAUAAUUAUCAUUUAACUUAAUAAAUAUUCUAUUUAAAUUUGACACUUCUUUUAUUUUAUUAUUUUCCAUAUAUGUAGUUUUUAUAUAUUCUCCUCUUUUCAUAAUUCUUCUUUUAUUUUUUCAGUAGUUACUGGUACUUUAAUUGGCAUCCAUCCUAAUCCUGGUAUAUUGACAUAACCAGCUUUAUUUAUAGGUUCUUUUUCUUUUUUAUUUUCUUGUAAUAUUCUUAACUUUAUAUUUUUAAUUUCUGUUUCUAUAUUUU
RNAcentral lists this long non-coding RNA (264 nucleotides) under Nicotiana benthamiana. RNAcentral describes it as "long non-coding RNA (NBEN_LNC032326)". Lineage: Eukaryota; Viridiplantae; Streptophyta; Magnoliopsida; Solanales; Solanaceae. The record is from RNAcentral.